RNAcentral lists this ribosomal RNA (468 nucleotides) under uncultured bacterium. RNAcentral describes it as "partial 16S ribosomal RNA". It matches the Rfam family "Bacterial small subunit ribosomal RNA", at positions 28 to 507 of the family's 1533-position model. The record is from RNAcentral.
GACGAGCGCUGGCGGCGUGCUUAACACAUGCAAGUCGAACGGAAAGGCCCUGCUUUUGUGGGGUGCUCGAGUGGCGAACGGGUGAGUAACACGUGAGUAACCUGCCCUUGACUUUGGGAUAACUUCAGGAAACUGGGGCUAAUACCGGAUAGGAGCUCCUGCCGCAUGGUGGGGGUUGGAAAGUUUCGGCGGUUGGGGAUGGACUCGCGGCUUAUCAGCUUGUUGGUGGGGUAGUGGCUUACCAAGGCUUUGACGGGUAGCCGGCCUGAGAGGGUGACCGGCCACAUUGGGACUGAGAUACGGCCCAGACUCCUACGGGAGGCAGCAGUGGGGAAUAUUGCACAAUGGGCGGAAGCCUGAUGCAGCAACGCCGCGUGCGGGAUGACGGCCUUCGGGUUGUAAACCGCUUUCGCCUGUGACGAAGCGUGAGUGACGGUAAUGGGUAAAGAAGCACCGGCUAACUACGUG